GGUUGUAGCUCAGUGGUAGAGUGCUAGCCUAGCUGGUGUGAGGCCCUGGGUUCAAUCCUCAGCACCA
RNAcentral lists this transfer RNA (67 nucleotides) under Marmota monax (woodchuck). RNAcentral's name for it is "tRNA.Undet". Lineage: Eukaryota; Metazoa; Chordata; Mammalia; Rodentia; Sciuridae. The record is from RNAcentral.